UUACCGAGUUUAAACUCCCAAACCCAUGUGAACAUACCUAUUGUUGCUUCGGCGGGAUUGCCCCGGGCGCCUCGUGUGCCCCGGAUCAGGCGCCCGCCUAGGAACUCUAACUCUUGUUUUAUUUUGAAUCUUCUGAGUAGUUUUUACAAAUAAAUAAAAACUUUCAACAACGGAUCUCUUGGUUCUGGCAUCGAUGAAGAACGCAGCGAAAUGCGAUAAGUAAUGUGAAUUGCAGAAUUCAGUGAAUCAUCGAAUCUUUGAACGCACAUUGCGCCCGCCAGUAUUCUGGCGGGCAUGCCUGUCUGAGCGUCAUUUCAACCCUCAUGCCCCUAGGGCGUGGUGUUGGGGAUCGGCCAAAGCCCGCGAGGGACGGCCGGCCCCUAAAUCUAGUGGCGGACCCGUCGUGGCCUCCUCUGCGAAGUAGUGAUAUUCCGCAUCGGAGAGCGAUGAGCCCCUGCCGUUAAACCCCCAACUUUCUAAGGUUGACCUCGAAAAGAAACCAACAGGGAUUGCCCUAGUAACGGCGAGUGAAGCGGCAACAGCUCAAAUUUGAAAUCUGGCGCAAGCCCGAGUUGUAAUUUGUAGAGGAUGUUUCUGGCGACGUGCCUUCCGAGUUCCCUGGAACGGGACGCCAUAGAGGGUGAGAGCCCCGUACGGUUGGAUGCCUAGCCUCUGUGAAACUCCUUCGACGAGUCGAGUAGUUUGGGAAUGCUGCUCUAAAUGGGAGGUAUACGUCUUCUAAAGCUAAAUACCGGCCAGAGACCGAUAGCGCACAAGUAGAGUGAUCGAAAGAUGAAAAGCACUUUGAAAAGAGGGUUAAAAAGUACGUGAAAUUGUUGAAAGGGAAGCGUUCAUGACCAGACUUGAGCAGGUUGAUCAUCCGUGGUUCUCCGCGGUGCACUCUGCCUGCUCAGGCCAGCAUCAGUUCGCUCCGGGGGAUAAAGGCUCUGGGAAUGUGGCUCCUUCGGGAGUGUUAUAGCCCACUGCGUAAUACCCUGGG
RNAcentral lists this ribosomal RNA (1000 nucleotides) under fungal sp. RNAcentral's name for it is "eukaryotic LSU rRNA". The stretch from base 464 to 1000 matches the Rfam family "Eukaryotic large subunit ribosomal RNA", at positions 1 to 580 of the family's 3401-position model. Lineage: Eukaryota; Fungi. The record is from RNAcentral.